AAACAAAAGAAGAAGAAAGUUAUUUGAAGGAUACUUGUUUUUUUUGUUUUUUUACUAACCUCAACUGUACCAAACAACUCAUCUUUAAUGUGACCUCCUCCGAAUUCUUUCUUCAAUGUGGCACGAGUGGCAGCGUAAACCAUCUUCUGUCUGACCUGCAUGGUACAGAGGACGUACUGGUGACUGGUCGGGUGACCAAGCGAUGAAGAUCCACUCGUAUCCCAGCGUAUUCUGCGAAUCCAGUCGGUAGAGGAUGUAGCAUGGCUGCUGUGGCGUGAGCAGAGGUAACAGGAAGUGGUCAUAGUCCUUGUCCCAGCUUUCUACUGGCUGUCCGCACGACUCCAGCACCAACUCCUCUGCAGACAAAAGUCAAAUUUUAAGUUAUCCCAUAUCUCCAAAUAAAUACACAUGGCAAGAUUA
Syngnathus acus (greater pipefish) is the source of this 420-nucleotide long non-coding RNA. RefSeq lists it as uncharacterized. Lineage: Eukaryota; Metazoa; Chordata; Actinopteri; Syngnathiformes; Syngnathidae. The record is from RefSeq and is a predicted model, not a curated record. The transcript has 2 exons.